UACGGAGGAUGCAAGCGUUAUCCGGAAUCAUUGGGUUUAAAGGGUCAGCAGGCGGAUUGUUAAGUCAGGGGUGAAAUCUUACAGCUCAACUGUAAAAUUGACUUUGAUACUGGCAAUCUUGAAUCAUUAUGAAGUGGUUAGAAUGUGUAGUGUAGCGGUGAAAUGCUUAGAGAUUACACAGAAUACCGAUUGCGAAGGCAGAUCGCUAACAAUGUAUUGACGCUCAGGGACGAAAGAGUGGGGAGCAAACAGG
This 253-nucleotide ribosomal RNA is filed under the name uncultured bacterium. RNAcentral's name for it is "partial 16S ribosomal RNA". It matches the Rfam family "Bacterial small subunit ribosomal RNA", at positions 524 to 776 of the family's 1533-position model. The record is from RNAcentral.